Molecule: ribosomal RNA, 693 nt
Filed under: uncultured bacterium
Lineage: Bacteria
Description: bacterial SSU rRNA
Rfam family: Bacterial small subunit ribosomal RNA
Source: RNAcentral
AGAGUUUGAUCCUGGCUCAGAUUGAACGCUGGCGGCAUGCUUUACACAUGCAAGUCGAACGGCAGCAUAGGUGCUUGCACCUGAUGGCGAGUGGCGGACGGGUGAGUAAUGCACCGGGACGUGUCCGGAAGAGGGGGAUAACUGUUCGAAAGAACAGCUAAUACCGCAUAAUAUCCGAGGAAGAAAGCUGGGGACCUUAGGGCCUGGCGCUUACGGGGCGACCGAUGUCUGAUUAGCUAGUUGGUGGGGUAAAAGCCUACCAAGGCGACGAUCAGUAGCUGGUCUGAGAGGACGACCAGCCACACUGGGACUGAGAAACGGCCCAGACUCCUACGGGAGGCAGCAGUGGGGAAUUUUGGACAAUGGGGGCAACCCUGAUCCAGCAAUGCCGCGUGUCUGAAGAAGGCCUUCGGGUUGUAAAGGACUUUUGUUGGGGAGCAAGGUGCACAGGUUAAGAGCUAGUGUACUUGAGAGUACCCAAAGAAUAAGGACCGGCUAACUACGUGCCAGCAGCCGCGGUAAUACGUAGGGUCCAAGCGUUAAUCGGAAUUACUGGGCGUAAAGAGUGCGCAGGCGGCUUUGUAAGCUUGAUGUGAAAUCCCCGGGCUCAACCUGGGAACUGCAUUGAGGACUGCAAGGCUAGAGUGUAGCAGAGGGGGGUAGAAUUCCACGUGUAGCGGUGAAAUGCGUAGA